CCCUUAGAUGUUCUGGGCUGCACGCGUGCUACAAUGGCGUUUCCAGCAAGUCUGCGAACCCGAGAGGGCCAGCGGAUCUUCGAAUUGGCGUCGUGAUCGGGACAGUCGAUUGCAAUUAUUUGACUCAAACGAGGAAUUCCUUGUAAUCGCGAUUCAUCAUAUCGCGCUGAAUACGUCCCUGCCCUUUGUACACACCGCCCGUCGCUCCUACUGAUUGAGCGAUCCGGUAAAUGUUUUGGAUUGGUGCCGGGGCGGCUAGCUGCCGGUCGCUACGAAAUUUUGUGAACCUUAUCGCUUAGAGGAAGGAAAAGUCGUAACA
Molecule: ribosomal RNA, 319 nt
Filed under: uncultured eukaryote
Lineage: Eukaryota
Description: partial 18S ribosomal RNA
Rfam family: Eukaryotic small subunit ribosomal RNA
Source: RNAcentral